RNAcentral lists this unclassified non-coding RNA (301 nucleotides) under rhizosphere metagenome. RNAcentral's name for it is "partial ribosomal RNA internal transcribed spacer region". The record is from RNAcentral.
GUAGGUGAACCUGCGGUUGGAUCAUUAAAAAGAUCUAGCCCGAUUUUGCACCUGGCCUUGAGCUGGUGGAAUGACAGGCUUUUCUCACGUGCGUGAGUCAACAUCAUGUGAACUGUUUUGUCUCUGGCGGUGGGAUGGCUCAAAACCGUCUGUCAGCAUCCGAGGUAAUCUCGGUGUGCCGUGGACAAGCCGCCAACGGUGUAUGUUUCAUACAAACUUUUUGUUUCAUUAAAACUGUCUGACCUACUUUUGUAUCUAAAUAAUACAAAAACAACUUUUGGCAACGGAUCUCUUGGCUCCC